GACGAACGCUGGCGGCGUGCUUAACACAUGCAAGUCGAACGGAAAGGCCCUGCUUUUGUGGGGUGCUCGAGUGGCGAACGGGUGAGUAACACGUGAGUAACCUGCCCUUGACUUUGGGAUAACUUCAGGAAACUGGGGCUAAUACCGGAUAGGAGCUCCUGCUGCAUGGUGGGGGUUGGAAAGUUUCGGCGGUUGGGGAUGGACUCGCGGCUUAUCAGCUUGUUGGUGGGGUAGUGGCUUACCAAGGCUUUGACGGGUAGCCGGCCUGAGAGGGUGACCGGCCACAUUGGGACUGAGAUACGGCCCAGACUCCUACGGGAGGCAGCAGUGGGGAAUAUUGCACAAUGGGCGGAAGCCUGAUGCAGCAACGCCGCGUGCGGGAUGACGGCAUUCGGGUUGUAACCCGCUUUCGCCUGUGACGAAGCGUGAGUGACGGUAAUGGGUAAAGAAGCACCGGCUAACUACGUG
This 468-nucleotide ribosomal RNA is filed under the name uncultured bacterium. RNAcentral describes it as "partial 16S ribosomal RNA". It matches the Rfam family "Bacterial small subunit ribosomal RNA", at positions 28 to 507 of the family's 1533-position model. The record is from RNAcentral.